Molecule: transfer RNA, 70 nt
Filed under: Hapalocarcinus marsupialis
Lineage: Eukaryota; Metazoa; Arthropoda; Malacostraca; Decapoda; Cryptochiridae
Description: tRNA-Val
Rfam family: tRNA
About the family: Transfer RNA (tRNA) molecules are approximately 80 nucleotides in length. Their secondary structure includes four short double-helical elements and three loops (D, anti-codon, and T loops). Further hydrogen bonds mediate the characteristic L-shaped molecular structure. tRNAs have two regions of fundamental functional importance: the anti-codon, which is responsible for specific mRNA codon recognition, and the 3' end, to which the tRNAs corresponding amino acid is attached (by aminoacyl-tRNA synthetases). tRNAs cope with the degeneracy of the genetic code in two manners: having more than one tRNA (with a specific anti-codon) for a particular amino acid; and 'wobble' base-pairing, i.e. permitting non-standard base-pairing at the 3rd anti-codon position.
Source: RNAcentral
CAAAGCAUAGUUAAUUAGUAUAACAUUUCGUUUACGUUGAGAAGGAACCGUGCAAAUCGGAUUGUUUUGA